GACGUAGGGCGGCGAGCGUUGUCUGGAUUUAUUGGGCGUAAAGAGCUCGUAGGCGGCUUGUCGCGUCGAAUGUGAAAACCCACGGCUCAACUGUGGGCUUGCAUUCGAUACGGGCAGGCUAGAGUUCGGUAGGGGAGACUGGAAUCCUGGUGUAGCGGUGAAUGCGCAGAUAUCAGGAGGAACACCGGUGGCGAAGGCGGGUCUCUGGGCCGAUACUGACGCUGAGGAGCUGAA
Molecule: ribosomal RNA, 234 nt
Filed under: uncultured bacterium
Lineage: Bacteria
Description: partial 16S ribosomal RNA
Rfam family: Bacterial small subunit ribosomal RNA
Source: RNAcentral